Molecule: long non-coding RNA, 1550 nt
Organism: Onychomys torridus (southern grasshopper mouse)
Lineage: Eukaryota; Metazoa; Chordata; Mammalia; Rodentia; Cricetidae
Exons: 5
Source: RefSeq, a predicted model, not a curated record
CGGUAGCAGCGGAGGCGAACGGCCGGCGGGCCGGGGAUGCGGGGCGCUGGAGCUGGUACCCAGCGGGCGGCGCGGGGCGCGUCGCCAUCUCAUGGUGUGAGGAGAAAAAGAGAAUGAAGAAGGAUGCCCCGGGUGUUCCUUCCUGAUUCGUGGCAUCCUGGAACUUCGUAGCACCUUGAAAGAUGACUUCCUUAACCCAAGACAUCAACAGUCUCUACCCAGUCUAGAGAUGACUUACCCCCUGCAAGGCUCAUGGAUUGAAAACUUGAUUCCUGCUGCUGUGAGCUGAGGAGGUGUGUCUUAAUGCUCCCACUGCCAUCCGCCCCAUCUUGCCUACCUUGAUGGACUGAAGCUCUACUGAAUUCGUGAACCAACAUAAACCUCUCCUUUCCCAAGUUGCUUCCCAAAGCCUACUUAAGAACCACAGUCUCUUUCUUUACUGGCAGAAAUGAGCUCGCACAACACCGCUGGGAAACACAGCCAUGGAGAUGAGCAGCUCUACAGGAUGGAGAAACAGAUCUAAUGUUUAAGGGGAGAAUGAGCUAUCCUGGGACUGCAGCCACCAGGCUGCCUGCCUGGACCAUGCCCCACUUCCAGCCAAGACUAUGACUGCAGCUGUAGUUGCUGCUGCUGUUGCUAUGGCAACAUGGCCCAGAAGACAGCCCUAAAACCAAUGGGAUCUCUCCAGAUCUUGAUGACCCUGCCUAAACCUGAACUACUCCAAGCCCAAUCUAUACACAAAGAAACCAAGUGAUAAAACAGGAUGCAAAUUGAUAAUGGUUCCUGUUGGAUGAGAGACCCACACUCCUUGCUGUUAUUGGAAAAUGGAUGGUCACAAACUCCCCCAAGCCACACAUCUGCGGGGGACCUAAAAUUGCCAAGUUACUUAAUCCCAAACAUUAUUCUUAGAAUUGAAUUGCCCCUCUAACUGUUGUCUGACAGUGGCCUGGCCUGUACAGCUAAAGUUUUUCUAAAUCUGACAAAGGUCCUAAAUGUUAAUAGGAAAAUUCAUUGUGCCUAGAGGCCACAAAACUCAAUAUAGAUAAACGAAAUAUUUCCUUGAGACCAGUGAAAACUGGAUCGACCUCCUACCUUUUGCCCUCCUAAGGACCAGAUGCACCUCAUACCAUAAGGCAUGGAAUUACUAGCCAUUCCCUUCUCAAGUCCUUAUAGACGCUGCCAUAGACUCAGAGGACUGGUCAUCAGACAGUUCCAGAGGUUGUACCUUUCCCAUGUCUGAGCCUACACACAAGUUCCUGCCUGGAGACCUUAUAUGGAUUUAAAAAGAAAAAUCCUAACAAUGUGAAAAGAGCUAUAUCCUGUGGUCCUCACCACCCAUGAACCCAGGACACCCUCUGAAGGAGGCUACAUAAGAUAAUGGCAGAUAAAUCAUCACCAGGUCCUCCAAACUCCCUGAAGAUAAGACUGACACAAGCCCUAUAAUAAUGUUGUCUAUUUUGUCUUGUUUAUCUCUCUGUAGGAAAGACCUAAAACCCCAAUGUCUUAGUUGGGGUUUUAUUGCUAUAAAGAGACACUAUGACCAUGACAAC